GUGCACCAGGCGCGAAACUUCACAAUGUGCGAAAGCACGAUGAGGGAAUCCCAAGUGCUUGCACGUAAGUGUAAGCUGUUUCUCUGUCUAAAACGCAGAGAGAGUAAGGGCUGGGUAAGACGGGUGCCAGCCGCCGCGGUAAUACCUGCAGCUCGAGUGGUGACCGUUAUUAUUGGGCCUAAAACGUCCGUAGCCGGUUUAAUAAAUGCCUGGGUAAAUCGGACCGCUUAACGGUUCGAAUUCCGGGUAGACUGUUAAACUUGAGACCGGGAGAAGUUAGAGGUACUCCUGGGGUAGAGGUGAAAUUCUGUAAUCCUAGGGGGACCACCAGUGGCGAAGGCGUCUAACUAGAACGGGUCUGACGGUGAGGGACGAAGCCCUGGGGCGCAAAACGGGGAUUAGAUACCCCUGUAGU
RNAcentral lists this ribosomal RNA (415 nucleotides) under uncultured microorganism. RNAcentral describes it as "bacterial SSU rRNA". It matches the Rfam family "Archaeal small subunit ribosomal RNA", at positions 330 to 745 of the family's 1478-position model. The record is from RNAcentral.